Molecule: ribosomal RNA, 339 nt
Filed under: Nematoda environmental sample
Lineage: Eukaryota; Metazoa; Nematoda
Description: SSU rRNA
Rfam family: Eukaryotic small subunit ribosomal RNA
Source: RNAcentral
CGUGGAGCGAUUUGUCUGGUUUAUUCCGAUAACGAGCGAGACUCUAGCCUACUAAAUAGUCUACCCAUUGCUUGUGGUGUAGUACUUCUUAGAGGGAUUUUCGGUGUACAGCCGCACGAGAUUGAGCAAUAACAGGUCUGUGAUGCCCUUAGAUGUCCGGGGCUGCACGCGCGCUACACUGGCGAAAUCAGCGUGCUUUUCCUUUCUCGAAAGGGAUUGGUAAACCAUUGAAAAUUUGCCGUGAUUGGGAUCGGAAAUUGCAAUUAUUUUCCGUGAACGAGGAAUUCCAAGUAAAUGCGAGUCAUCAACUCGCGUUGAAUACGUCCCUGCCCUUUGUAC